CACAGCCGCGGUAAUACGUAGGGCGCGAGCGUUAAUCGGAAUUACUGGGCGUAAAGCGUGCGCAGGCGGUUGUGUAAGACAGGUGUGAAAUCCCCGGGCUUAACCUGGGAACUGCGCUUGUGACUGCACAGCUAGAGUAUGGCAGAGGGGGGUGGAAUUCCACGUGUAGCAGUGAAAUGCGUAGAGAUGUGGAGGAACACCGAUGGCGAAGGCAGCCCCCUGGGCCAAUACUGACGCUCAUGCACGAAAGCGUGGGGAGCAAACAGGAUUAGAUACCCGGGUAGUCCCUGUCUCUUAUACC
This 301-nucleotide ribosomal RNA is filed under the name uncultured bacterium. Its description in RNAcentral is "partial 16S ribosomal RNA". It matches the Rfam family "Bacterial small subunit ribosomal RNA", at positions 510 to 808 of the family's 1533-position model. The record is from RNAcentral.